RNAcentral lists this Y RNA (102 nucleotides) under Prolemur simus (greater bamboo lemur). RNAcentral's name for it is "Y RNA (ENSPSMG00000018730.1)". It matches the Rfam family "Y RNA". Rfam says of the family: Y RNAs are components of the Ro ribonucleoprotein particle (Ro RNP), in association with Ro60 and La proteins. The Y RNAs and Ro60 and La proteins are well conserved, but the function of the Ro RNP is not known. In humans the RNA component can be one of four small RNAs -- hY1, hY3, hY4 and hY5. Lineage: Eukaryota; Metazoa; Chordata; Mammalia; Primates; Lemuridae. The record is from Rfam by way of RNAcentral.
AGCUGAUCCUAGUGCAGUGGUGUUUACAACUAACUGAUCACACCCAGUUACAGAUUCCUUUGUUCAUUCUCUACUCCCACUGCUUCACUUGACUAGCCUAAA